AGCUGAUCAGGCCUCACAGCUCAGGGAAACCUCCCAGCUGAGGGAAACAUCACCAAGGAAGGCCCUUUCAAAGGGUCUCAACCCUGCCGCCACCGCCUUUUUCUAAAGAAGACUUCCUCCUUACUGUUGAGAUCCCCUUGAUGGUGGAGGUCCUGAGAAUAUACAUUCCUAAACUGAGAUGCUCUGAAGAUCACCAACACUUGACAACCCUGGCUGAUUUUGCCAAGACAUUUUUGGUGUUGGAAUUCAUGUUGAAUCGCUGCCCUUUCAACUGAAGCUGCAGUCAAAGAAGCCAAAGCACUGUCUGUCCCUAGGGAGAACUGACACUCAACCCAGGAGAGCGGAGAGGAGGCCAUCGCCAUUCCAGUGCGUCCCCAGAGGAGGACAGUGAAGCAGAGGCUGUGACCUGCAAGAUAGAUGAGACCCCGUGUAAACAAACACGCCCCCAGUCUCCCAGGAGUGCUGGGCACCGGGCAAGCUUGGGUGGGUGCCAGGGCCCAGGGGACUCUGCCUGGCUGCAGUUGCUACCUGUCUGUAAAGAUCAGCUCUUAAGACGAUGUGACUUGAGCACUUCCAAGAAAUAAAGUCUGCACAGUUUAACAGCUGCCAAGUUAACCAACCUUUAGGAAGGAAGCCUGUCUAAGACUGCUACUUCUAUUAAAUAUUUCAUUCACCCAAGAAGAGUGAGUCUGAGAAACUCGAUCCAGAUGAGGUCAGAGGCACUGUGGCCUGAAGGACAGACAAGAUUCCAUGAUGUGCGUCUGGGCUGGGAAGACCACCAGCAUCCCGGAGCUGCCUUCCUAAGUUUUCCAUUAGUUGGUGAAAAAGCCGAAUUUUGGAAGCAUUUUUAUUCUCGGGGUGGGGGUGGGCUCCUUCCAUGGCCUGAGGAGCUGGGGUCAUCCAGUUCCCCGUCCAGAGGAGAGCCCCAGGCUGUCAGUAGGUCGCCUGCAUCUAAGGUGGCGCUGGGGCUCAGCAGGAGCCCACAUGGCAGUGUCUGGCUGAGAGGAUCAAAGAGACCUGGGAGGGGGUGAGCGGAGAGAACAGACAUCCUUGGGCCAUGAAACCAGGACUCGGCAUUGCCUCCCAACCCCGGUCAGUGGCCACACCAGGGCUUACUGGGGAGGGAAAUGAGGGGCGCGUGACUUUCAAAUCAAAGUCAAAUAUCAAACCUUUGCUAGAUUCCAGCAAUAGAACAGUCACUCCUUCCCUCUGUGGCCAACUUCUCACCCUUUUUUAAAGAUCUGUUUUUCUUUCUUUUUAGAUGUUUUAUUUAUUAUUGGAUAGAGACAGAAAAAUUGAGAGGGGAGAAGGAGGUGGAGAGAGAGAGAGAGAGAGAGAGAGAUGCCUGCUACCCUGCUUCACCACUCCAGAAUUUUUCCCCCUGCAGGAGGGGGCCAGGGGCUUGAACCGGGGUCCUUGCUCACUAUAACGUGGGUGUGCUUAACCAGGUGUGCCUGGCCCCCAAGUGACUUCUGUGCACUGAUGUGGCAUCCCUGGGUGCACCAAGCUGACAG
Long non-coding RNA from Erinaceus europaeus (western European hedgehog), 1514 nucleotides. RefSeq lists it as uncharacterized. Lineage: Eukaryota; Metazoa; Chordata; Mammalia; Eulipotyphla; Erinaceidae. The transcript is spliced from 4 exons. The record is from RefSeq and is a predicted model, not a curated record.